Molecule: long non-coding RNA, 419 nt
Organism: Osmia lignaria (orchard mason bee)
Lineage: Eukaryota; Metazoa; Arthropoda; Insecta; Hymenoptera; Megachilidae
Source: RefSeq, a predicted model, not a curated record
UAUGCAUCAUCAGAGGGUGUAUUAACGAAAACAGCAGGAUGUUCUCCUUCCCCUAAGAGAAAAAGGAUAAGAAGAGGAUGGCACAGUGGGUGGAAGUUUGUGACAACCCAAAGUCAGUGCUUCCACCUGAAAACUGAAAUUCCGGGUGAUCUGUAGUAGCUACUUUAAAGAAAAAUACUUCAUGAGGAAAAGAUUAACAACAUCAGCAGUUCCAACACUGAACUUAUUUGUGUCAGAAGCUACCUCUAUUAAAAUAGAGCAAUGAGACACCUGGAUGCAAAUGAAAAGAAGAAAAAGAAGAUUUUAAACCUGACUGCACCAGGGGAGUGGAAAACGUGAUUUUCGAUUGUAUAUUAUUAUUGAUAUAUAUAUAUAUAUUUAUUAUAUUUCAGUAAAAAUUUAAUAUAUUUCCAUUACUG